Nycticebus coucang (slow loris) is the source of this 107-nucleotide small nuclear RNA. Lineage: Eukaryota; Metazoa; Chordata; Mammalia; Primates; Lorisidae. The record is from RefSeq and is a predicted model, not a curated record.
GUGCUUGCUUCAGCAGCACAUAUACUAAAAUUAGAAUGAUACAGAGAAGAUUAGUAUGGCCCUUGCGCAAGGAUGGGAUUAUCGUUAACUAUAGUUGCCUGUGUUAC